RNAcentral lists this ribosomal RNA (274 nucleotides) under uncultured bacterium. RNAcentral describes it as "partial 16S ribosomal RNA". It matches the Rfam family "Bacterial small subunit ribosomal RNA", at positions 523 to 796 of the family's 1533-position model. The record is from RNAcentral.
AUACGGAGGGGGUUAGCGUUGUUCGGAAUUACUGGGCGUAAAGCGCACGUAGGCGGACUGGAAAGUUGGGGGUGAAAUCCCGGGGCUCAACCCCGGAACUGCCUCCAAAACUUCCAAUCUAGAGAUCGAGAGAGGUGAGUGGAAUUCCAAGUGUAGAGGUGAAAUUCGUAGAUAUUUGGAGGAACACCAGUGGCGAAGGCGGCUCACUGGCUCGAUACUGACGCUGAGGUACGAAAGUGUGGGGAGCAAACAGGAUUAGAAACCCCGGUAGUCC